Lemur catta (Ring-tailed lemur) is the source of this 178-nucleotide long non-coding RNA. RefSeq lists it as uncharacterized. NCBI's taxonomy places the organism in Eukaryota, Metazoa, Chordata, Mammalia, Primates, Lemuridae. The transcript has 3 exons. The record is from RefSeq and is a predicted model, not a curated record.
GAAGUGCAUUUCUUUUUUUUUUUCACAGGAGGAGACAAGAAAGCCACCAGGUUUAAGAGAGGAAAAUGCUAAGAUGUCCUUGUUAACAUCUGGACCAAAGGAAGAGGAAGAGUCAUCACCUUGGGAUUCAGAUUCGGAGGAGGAGACAACAAAGCCAGCAGGUUUCAGAGAGGAAAAU